Molecule: transfer RNA, 87 nt
Filed under: Acidobacteria bacterium RIFCSPLOWO2_02_FULL_64_15
Lineage: Bacteria; Pseudomonadati; Acidobacteriota
Also listed under: 3 other names
Description: tRNA-Leu
Rfam family: tRNA
About the family: Transfer RNA (tRNA) molecules are approximately 80 nucleotides in length. Their secondary structure includes four short double-helical elements and three loops (D, anti-codon, and T loops).
Source: RNAcentral
GCGGAAGUGGCGGAACUGGCAGACGCACCAGCUUGAGGGGCUGGCGCUCGCAAGAGCGUGGGGGUUCGAAUCCCCCCUUCCGCACCA